This 501-nucleotide ribosomal RNA is filed under the name uncultured bacterium. RNAcentral's name for it is "partial 16S ribosomal RNA". It matches the Rfam family "Bacterial small subunit ribosomal RNA", at positions 30 to 523 of the family's 1533-position model. The record is from RNAcentral.
AUUGAACGCUGGCGGCAGGCUUAACACAUGCAAGUCGAGCGGGGGAAGGUAGCUUGCUACCGGACCUAGCGGCGGACGGGUGAGUAAUGCUUAGGAAUCUGCCUAUUAGUGGGGGACAACAUCUCGAAAGGGAUGCUAAUACCGCAUACGUCCUACGGGAGAAAGCAGGGGAUCUUCGGACCUUGCGCUAAUAGAUGAGCCUAAGUCGGAUUAGCCAGUUGGUGGGGUAAAGGCCUACCAAGGCGACGAUCUGUAGCGGGUCAGAGAGGAUGAUCCGCGAGACUGGGACUGCGACACGGCCCAGGCUACUACGGGAGGCAGCAGUGGGGAAGAUUGGACAAUGGGGGGAACCCUGAUCCAGCCAUGCCGCGUGUGUGAAGAAGGCCUUAUGGUUGUAAAGCACUUUAAGCGAGGAGGAGGCUACUCUAGUUAAUACCUAGGGAUAGUGGACGUUACUCGCAGAAUAAGCACCGGCUAACUCUGUGCCAGCCGCCGCGGUAA